Oncorhynchus keta (chum salmon) is the source of this 697-nucleotide long non-coding RNA. RefSeq lists it as uncharacterized. The transcript has 2 exons. The record is from RefSeq and is a predicted model, not a curated record. Lineage: Eukaryota; Metazoa; Chordata; Actinopteri; Salmoniformes; Salmonidae.
CAGUCUCCAGUUACCCCAUCACCACCACCAGCCCAUAGAGACCCCCCAGUCUCCAGUUACCCCAUCACCACCACCAGCCCAUAGAGACCACCCCCAGUCUCCAGUUACCCCAUCACCACCACCAGCCCAUAGAGACUGACCCCCCCAGUCUCCAGUUACCCCAUCACCACCACCAGCCCAUAGAGACCCCCCCCAGUCUCCAGUUACCCCAUCACCACCACCAGCCCAUAGAGACCACCCCCAGUCUCCAGUUACCCCAUCACCACCACCAGCCCAUAGAGACCCCCCCAGUCUCCAGUUACCCAUCACCACCACCAGCCCAUAGAGACCCCCCCCAGUCUCCAGUUACCCCAUCACCACCACCAGCCCAUAGAGACCACCCCCAGUCUCCAGUUACCCCAUCACCACCACCAGCCCAUAGAGACCCCCCCAGUCUCCAGUUACCCUAUCACCACCACCAGCCCAUAGAGACCACCCCCAGUCUCCAGUUACCCCAUCACCACCACCAGCCCAUAGAGAACCGCUCCCCCCCAGUCUUGAAUACCCAGUUGCACACUCAGUUGAAUUAAAUGCAUUCCAGGUGACUACCUCAUGAAGCUGGUUGAGAGAAUGCCAAGAGUGUGCAAAUAUGUCAUCAAGGCAAAGGUUGGCUAUUUGAAGAAUCUCAAAUAUUAAAUAUAUUUUAAUUUGUUUAACA